This 520-nucleotide ribosomal RNA is filed under the name Bacillus sp. RiMSX27. RNAcentral describes it as "bacterial SSU rRNA". It matches the Rfam family "Bacterial small subunit ribosomal RNA", at positions 171 to 676 of the family's 1533-position model. The record is from RNAcentral. Lineage: Bacteria; Bacillati; Bacillota; Bacilli; Caryophanales; Bacillaceae.
AGAUAAUCCCUUUCUCCACCUGGAGAGAGGGUGAAAGAUGGCUUCGGCUAUCACUAAGGGAUGGGCCCGCGGCGCAUUAGCUAGUUGGUAAGGUAACGGCUUACCAAGGCAACGAUGCGUAGCCGACCUGAGAGGGUGAUCGGCCACACUGGGACUGAGACACGGCCCAGACUCCUACGGGAGGCAGCAGUAGGGAAUCUUCCGCAAUGGACGAAAGUCUGACGGAGCAACGCCGCGUGAGUGAGGAAGGCCUUCGGGUCGUAAAGCUCUGUUGUGAGGGAAGAAGCGGUACCGUUCGAAUAGGGCGGUACCUUGACGGUACCUCACCAGAAAGCCACGGCUAACUACGUGCCAGCAGCCGCGGUAAUACGUAGGUGGCAAGCGUUGUCCGGAAUUAUUGGGCGUAAAGCGCGCGCAGGCGGCUUCUUAAGUCUGAUGUGAAAUCUCGGGGCUCAACCCCGAGCGGCCAUUGGAAACUGGGGAGCUUGAGUGCAGAAGAGGAGAGUGGAAUUCCACGUGU